This 3180-nucleotide ribosomal RNA is filed under the name metagenome. RNAcentral describes it as "bacterial LSU rRNA". It matches the Rfam family "Bacterial large subunit ribosomal RNA". The record is from RNAcentral.
GUAAGUACGUAAGAGCACACAGGUGGAUACCUUGGCACGACAGGCGAUGAAGGACGUAGCAGGCUGCGAAAAGCUCGGGGGAGCUGCCAACAAGCAAUGAUCCCGAGAUAUCCGAAUGGGGCAACCCACGUGUCGUCAUGGACACGUACUCCGCGAUGAAUCCAAUAGUCGCGGUAGAGCAUACCCGGUGAACUGAAACAUCUAAGUAGCCGGAGGAAAAGACAUCAACCGAGAUUCCCGUAGUAGUGGCGAGCGAACCGGGAACAGCCUAAACCCCGCACGUGUAAGCGUAGCAGCGUUGCGUGAAGGGGGGUUGCACGGCGAUCUUUCGAGGGUGCUGCACCUCGAGAUCAGUAAGAAAUCCGAUCGAUAGACGAAGCCGGCUGGAAAGCCGCACCAAAGACGGUGAUAGUCCCGUAGUUGAAAUCGGUCGGACUGAUUUGGAUCGUUCGUAAGUAGGGCGGGGCACGAGAAACCCUGUCUGAACCUGGGAGGACCAUCUUCCAAGGCUAAAUAUUCUGUCGUGACCGAUAGCGCAUAGUACCGUGAGGGAAAGGUGAAAAGAACCCCCGAAGGGGAGUGAAAUAGAACAUGAAACCGUGUGCUUACAAACCGUGAAAGGCCCAUGCGCAAGCAAGGCUGAUCGCGUGCCUAUUGAAGAAUGAACCUGCGAGUUACUUGUAACGGGCUUGGUUAAGGUGUUGAGCCGGAGCCGUAGCGAAAGCGAGUCUGAAUAGGGCGUUCGUCCGUUGCAGUAGACCCGAAACCGAGUGAUCUAUCCAUGGCCAGGGUGAAGCGUGAUUAACCUCACGUGGAGGCCCGAACCUGUUGUUGUUGAAAAAACAUUGGAUGAGCUGUGGAUAGGGGUGAAAAGCCAAUCGAACCUGGAGAUAGCUGGUUCUCCCCGAAAUAGUUUGAGGACUAGCGUUGAGAUUUAACCCUUGGGGGUAGAGCACUGACAGGGCUAGGGGCCUUACCGGGUUACCGAACCCCAUCAAACUCCGAAUACCAGGGCGAACAUCUCAGCAGUCAGACGGUGGGGGAUAAGCUCCAUCGUCAAAAGGGAAACAGCCCAGAUCAUCAGCUAAGGUCCCUAAUCGAUGCUCAGUGGUAAAGGAAGUCGUUUCGCACAGACAACUAGGAGGUUGGCUUAGAAGCAGCCACCCUUGAAAGAGUGCGUAAUAGCUCACUAGUCGAGUGAGGCGGCGCCGAAAAUGUAACGGGGCUCAAGCAUCGAACCGAAGCUAUGGGAUGUGCAAACAUCGGUAGGGGAGCGUUGUCGCGUAGGCCGAAGCCGGACCGUGAGGACCGGUGGACGAACGACAAGUGCGAAUGCAGGUAUAAGUAGCGAUAAAUGCGGGUGAGAACCCCGCACGCCGGAAGUCUAAGGUUUCCUGAGCUACGUCAAUCGUCUCAGGGUGAGUCGGGUCCUAAGCCGAGGCUGAGAAGCGUAGGCGAUGGCCAAGCCGUUCAUAUUCGGCUACCACCGACGUCAGUUUAGACUCUCGCGAACUCAUGUCACGAAUCCUCGGAUCAACCCUCGUUGACGCAAUGCACGAGCGACAGUUCGGGCGAGCGUCUCGCGAGGGAUUUUCGUCGAGCGCAAGGCGCUGGCAUGCGAAGUGUACUUCGGUACACGAGCAUGACGGCAACGCAGCGAUCGGCGAAAAGACCCGCGACCGUGCCAUCAGUCACGAGAGUCUAUGAAGUGAAGGGAUGACGCAGGAGGAUAGGUCAGCGCACCGUCGGACGUGUGCGUCGAAGCAGGUAGGGGGUCAGAUAGGAAAAUCCGUCUGGCAACUCCGAGAUGCGAGUGCGAGAUCCUUUACGGAUCGAAGUGAUUGACUCCACGCUGCCAAGAAAAGUCUCUAGCGAUGACAGAGGUGCCCGUACCGUACACCGACACUGGUAGACUGGCAGAGCAUGCUAAGGCGACGGGAGAACCCCUGUUAAGGAACUCGGCAAAUUAACCCCGUAACUUUGGGAGAAGGGGUGCCCCUGUUGGUCUAGUCUUCACGACGAAAGCCGAUGGGGGUCGCAGUGAAUAGGCCCAAGCGACUGUUUAACAAAAACACAGGUCUCUGCGAACGCGAAAGCGGACGUAUAGGGGCUGACUCCUGCCCGGUGCUGGAAGGUUAAAAGGAGAGGUUAGCGCAAGCGAAGCUUUGAAUUGAAGCCCCAGUAAACGGCGGCGGUAACUAUAACCGUCCUAAGGUAGCGAAAUUCCUUGUCGGGUAAGUUCCGACCUGCACGAAUGGAGUAACGACUUGGGCACUGUCUCGAUGGGGGUCCCGGCGAAAUUGCAGUACCAGUGAAGAUGCUGGUUACCCGCGGCAGGACGGAAAGACCCCAUGAAGCUUUACUAUACCCUGAUGUUGGGUCUUGAGAUUUUCUGUACAGGAUAGGUGGGAGCUGAUGAUCCGUGGGCGCUAGCCUACGGGGAGGCAACCUUGGGAUACCACCCUGAAAAUCUUGGGAUUCUAACCUGCGACCGUAAGCCGGUCGGGAGACAGCGUCAGGCGGGUAGUUUGACUGGGGCGGUCGCCUCCUAAAGAGUAACGGAGGCGCCCAAAGGUUCCCUCAGGACGGUCAGAAACCGUUCGUACAGAGUGCAUAGGCAUAAGGGAGCUUGACUGCGAGACGGACAGGUCGAGCAGGUGCGAAAGCAGGGCUAAGUGAUCCGGCGGUUCCGAAUGGAAGGGCCGUCGCUUAUCGGAUAAAAGCUACUCUGGGGAUAACAGGCUUAUCUCCCCCAAGAGUCAAUUUAGGGCUCCCCGCUUGGGCGACCAAGCGGUAAACUCGUGGCUCAUAUCGGUGGAACCCUUGUCAGAGGGCAAUACCGAGGGAAGAGAGUUUGUGGAGACAUAUUUCGCGCGCCGCGCGCGGCAAAGACCACUCGAUCGAGUUCAGCGCGAACUCGUCGUCGGAUCUUUGCUUGGAGAUGCGACGCUGCUGAAGACGACGUCGGGCUGGUGCUUCAGGGUCCACCAUGGACUCAGACAGCGGUCAUACGUCGAUUUCAAGCAUCGUUUUCUUCAGGAUUAUGUGCAGUCGCCACCGCGUCAGAGUGGGCGGGCGUACUAUUUCCGGACCGUUACACAUCCGGCGUUCUCGGACUACCGAGACGCAUUCUAUCAAUCGAAUCGAAAAGUGGUUCCGAUCGAACUGCUGCGCGAGCAG